This 207-nucleotide ribosomal RNA is filed under the name uncultured bacterium. RNAcentral's name for it is "partial 16S ribosomal RNA". It matches the Rfam family "Bacterial small subunit ribosomal RNA", at positions 568 to 774 of the family's 1533-position model. The record is from RNAcentral.
CGCGCAGGCGGUGCGUUAAGUGUAUUGUCAAAGACACAGGCUCAACCUGGGGCAGGCAACACAGACUGACGGACUGGAGGCAGCUAGAGGGACGUGGAAUUCGGGGUGUAGCGGUGAAAUGUGUAGAGAUCCCGAGGAACACCAGCGGUGAAGACGGCGUCCUGGGGCUGACCUGACGCUGAGGCGCGAAGGCGUGGGGAGCGAACG